RNAcentral lists this small RNA (433 nucleotides) under Caenorhabditis elegans. Its description in RNAcentral is "Unclassified non-coding RNA C02C6.16". Lineage: Eukaryota; Metazoa; Nematoda; Chromadorea; Rhabditida; Rhabditidae. The record is from RNAcentral.
AAAAGACACGCAAGUUGAUUGGAUGUGGACUGAUUCCCUUAUUCUGUCCAGUGACACGAUCAGUCUCAUCCUCAAUCUCUUUCCGAACUGCAUCAAAAUCCACAAAGCGAUGACCCUUCUUGUGUAGGAACUCGGCGUACUCAUUGCGAUCUUGAAUAAGCUGCAAAAUAAGUGGACGACGUGUUACGAUUCCUGAUCCACGUGGCAAGAAGUCUCUGGAAAGGAAAAAAAUUGUGAUUUUAUUUCGCAAAGUUAUGUUUUUUUUCUUCUUGUGACUCACUUUCCGACAAAAUUCUCCAGCACCGACGACUUUCCAGCGGACUGUCCUCCGACGACGGCGAUCUGUGGAAGUUCGAAGCUGACAGAUGUGCCCAGCUGGGAGAAGGCGUCCUGGACACGAUUGAUCACAGGGAUCAACGCCUGCAUUCCCUGG